CUCAUACUAAAAGAUGUAGCAGAGAACAAAAGACAUCAUGGACUAAGUCUCUCCAUGAAAGGGAGAGCAACACUUGUGUUGCAGCAACCUUGUAAUAUGAAAGAUCAUCCUGAGAUGAGAAUAGCUGGAUUAUGCCUGGGAUUUUGCAGCAGAAUUUCCUUUCCGGAUGUGCUGCUUUGCUGAGGCAAACAGACUUUAGGAGGAGUGCUGGGCAAGGUGGGAAGAUCUCCAUCUCAACUCUGAGGGCGAGGGGGCAAAGAGAAUGAAAUGAAGAAACAGAAAAAUAAUCUCCUCUAACUCAGAAGUCACCUGAAUUACCAGAGCUGCACUUCUGCUUUCACACUG
This 345-nucleotide long non-coding RNA is filed under the name Numida meleagris (helmeted guineafowl). RNAcentral's name for it is "lncRNA (ENSNMEG00000011884.1)". Lineage: Eukaryota; Metazoa; Chordata; Aves; Galliformes; Numididae. The record is from RNAcentral.